Molecule: ribosomal RNA, 301 nt
Filed under: uncultured bacterium
Lineage: Bacteria
Description: partial 16S ribosomal RNA
Rfam family: Bacterial small subunit ribosomal RNA
Source: RNAcentral
CAGCCGCCGCGGUAACACGAAGGGGGCUAGCGUUGUUCGGAAUUACUGGGCGUAAAGGGAGCGUAGGCGGAUUGUUUAGUUAGGCGUGAAAUUCCUGGGCUUAACCUGGGGACUGCGCUUAAUACAGGCAGUCUAGAGUGAGGAAGAGGGUUGUGGAAUUCCCAGUGUAGAGGUGAAAUUCGUAGAUAUUGGGAAGAACACCGGUGGCGAAAGCGGCGACCUGGUCCUUGACUGACGCUGAGGCGCGAAAGCGUGGGGAGCAAACAGGAUUAGAUACCCCUGUAGUCCCUGUCUCUUAUAC